GGAAGUAAAAGUCGUAACAAGGUCUCCGUUGGUGAACCAGCGGAGGGAUCAUUACUGAGUUUACGCUCUAUAACCCUUUGUGAACAUACCUAUAACUGUUGCUUCGGCGGGUAGGGUCUCCGUGACCCUCCCGGCCUCCCGCCCCCGGGCGGGUCGGCGCCCGCCGGAGGAUAACCAAACUCUGAUUUAACGACGUUUCUUCUGAGUGGUACAAGCAAAUAAUCAAAACUUUUAACAACGGAUCUCUUGGUUCUGGCAUCGAUGAAGAACGCAGCGAAAUGCGAUAAGUAAUGUGAAUUGCAGAAUUCAGUGAAUCAUCGAAUCUUUGAACGCACAUUGCGCCCGCCAGCAUACUGGCGGGCAUGCCUGUUCGAGCGUCAUUUCAACCCUCAAGCUCUGCUUGGUGUUGGGGCCCUACAGCUGAUGUAGGCCCUCAAAGGUAGUGGCGGACCCUCCCGGAGCCUCCUUUGCGUAGUAACUUUACGUCUCGCACUGGGAUCCGGAGGGACUCUUGCCGUAAAACCCCCAAUUUUCCAAAGGUUGACCUCGGAUCAGGUAGGAAUACCCGCUGAACUUAAGCAUAUCAAUA
RNAcentral lists this ribosomal RNA (589 nucleotides) under Colletotrichum conoides. RNAcentral's name for it is "eukaryotic LSU rRNA". The stretch from base 227 to 380 matches the Rfam family "5.8S ribosomal RNA". The record is from RNAcentral. Lineage: Eukaryota; Fungi; Ascomycota; Sordariomycetes; Glomerellales; Glomerellaceae.